Molecule: ribosomal RNA, 302 nt
Filed under: uncultured bacterium
Lineage: Bacteria
Description: partial 16S ribosomal RNA
Rfam family: Bacterial small subunit ribosomal RNA
Source: RNAcentral
GCAGUAGCCGCGGUAAUACAGAGGGUGCGAGCGUUAAUCGGAUUUACUGGGCGUAAAGCGUGCGUAGGCGGCUUUUUAAGUCGGAUGUGAAAUCCCUGAGCUUAACUUAGGAAUUGCAUUCGAUACUGGGAAGCUAGAGUAUGGGAGAGGAUGGUAGAAUUCCAGGUGUAGCGGUGAAAUGCGUAGAGAUCUGGAGGAAUACCGAUGGCGAAGGCAGCCAUCUGGCCUAAUACUGACGCUGAGGUACGAAAGCAUGGGGAGCAAACAGGAUUAGAUACCCCGGUAGUCCCUGUCUCUUAUAC